GCUGGGCGUGGUGGCGCAUGCCUGUAAUCCCAGCUACUUAGGAGGCUGAGGCAGGAGAAUUGCUUGAACCUGGGAGGCGGAGGUUGCAGUGAGCUGAGAUCGCACCAUUGCAACCCAGCCUGGGCGACAGAGCAAGACUCCGUCUCAA
Molecule: unclassified non-coding RNA, 148 nt
Organism: Papio anubis (olive baboon)
Lineage: Eukaryota; Metazoa; Chordata; Mammalia; Primates; Cercopithecidae
Rfam family: Metazoan signal recognition particle RNA
About the family: The signal recognition particle (SRP) is a universally conserved ribonucleoprotein. It is involved in the co-translational targeting of proteins to membranes. The eukaryotic SRP consists of a 300-nucleotide 7S RNA and six proteins: SRPs 72, 68, 54, 19, 14, and 9.
Source: Ensembl